GCUCCUGUGCUUUUAUUCUGCUCGCUCGGAAUGGUGUUUUGCUCGCUCGCGUUAGUCGACCUCCAAUUUUGACAGGUUGUGGGAGGGAACAAACGCUGGCCCUCUUGUGAUUGGUCAUUUCCCACACGGAAGCCCAGGAAGGGAUGGACCAUGGUCUUGACCAUAGAAAGCCAGCGAAGAAGAGACCUUGACGAAGACAAGAGGAGGACGGUUUAUGAGACAGAAUUACAGCAACAAUGGAUGACGGUAACGUUAAUGACUUUGGGCAGCAGCCUCAGGACAAUUGUGGGGACACUCUCAGAAGGCAGGUCUUGUUGAGGCUGCUUUCCAAAUUUGAAAUGGGACUCGCCAGACAGCCCAUAGACCUUGAUUAUUUUGAGUUUACAUGUAGGCAAGAGCUAUAUCUCUGCAAUGCAUUGUCGCGCCAUUUCAAUGUACCUGCAGAGAUACUGCAGGCCCUGGAUGAGUUUUUUAAAGCAGUAAAAGAGUGCCUGGAGUUGACUAAUGUACACAUUACAGCAAACACA
Long non-coding RNA from Perca fluviatilis (European perch), 527 nucleotides. RefSeq lists it as uncharacterized. The record is from RefSeq and is a predicted model, not a curated record. The transcript has 3 exons. NCBI's taxonomy places the organism in Eukaryota, Metazoa, Chordata, Actinopteri, Perciformes, Percidae.